RNAcentral lists this transfer RNA (66 nucleotides) under Serritermes serrifer. Its description in RNAcentral is "tRNA-Pro". Lineage: Eukaryota; Metazoa; Arthropoda; Insecta; Blattodea; Serritermitidae. The record is from RNAcentral.
CAGAGAGUAUUUUAUUAAAAAUACUAAUUUUGGGAAUUGGUGAAAUGGCUUAUGCUUUCUCUCUGA